CCUACGGGAGGCUGCAGUGAGGAAUAUUGGUCAAUGGACGAGCGUCUGAACCAGCCAAGUAGCGUGAAGGAUGACUGCCCUAUGGGUUGUAAACUUCUUUUAUAUGGGAAUAAAAUGUUCCACGUGUGGGAUUUUGUAUGUACCAUAUGAAUAAGGAUCGGCUAACUCCGGGCCAGCAGCCGCGGUAAUACGGAGGAUCCGAGCGUUAUCCGGAUUUAUUGGGUUUAAAGGGAGCGUAGGUGGAUUGUUAAGUCAGUUGUGAAAGUUUGCGGCUCAACCGUAAAAUUGCAGUUGAAACUGGCAGUCUUGAGUACAGUAGAGGUGGGCGGAAUUCGUGGUGUAGCGGUGAAAUGCUUAGAUAUCACGAAGAACUCCGAUUGCGAAGGCAGUUCACUGGACUGCAACUGACACUGAGGCUCGAAAGUGUGGGUAUCAAACAGGAUUAGAUACCCCAGUAGUC
RNAcentral lists this ribosomal RNA (460 nucleotides) under uncultured bacterium. Its description in RNAcentral is "partial 16S ribosomal RNA". It matches the Rfam family "Bacterial small subunit ribosomal RNA", at positions 338 to 795 of the family's 1533-position model. The record is from RNAcentral.